RNAcentral lists this ribosomal RNA (289 nucleotides) under uncultured bacterium. Its description in RNAcentral is "partial 16S ribosomal RNA". It matches the Rfam family "Bacterial small subunit ribosomal RNA", at positions 333 to 619 of the family's 1533-position model. The record is from RNAcentral.
CUACACCUACGGGAGGCAGCAGUGAGGAAUAUUGGUCAAUGGGCGCGAGCCUGAACCAGCCAAGUAGCGUGAAGGAUGACUGCCCUACGGGUUGUAACCUUCUUUUAUAAAGGAAUAAAGUGAGGCACGUGUGCCUUUUUGUAUGUACUUUAUGAAUAAGGAUCGGCUAACUCCGUGCCAGCAGCCGCGGUAAUACGGAGGAUCCGAGCGUUAUCCGGAUUUAUUGGGUUUAAAGGGAGCGUAGAUGGGUUGUUAAGUCAGUUGUGAAAGUUUGCGGUUCACCCGUAAA